RNAcentral lists this transfer RNA (65 nucleotides) under Nesophrosyne sp. 126 GMB-2012. RNAcentral's name for it is "tRNA-Ile". The record is from RNAcentral. Lineage: Eukaryota; Metazoa; Arthropoda; Insecta; Hemiptera; Cicadellidae.
GAUGAAAUGCCUGAAAAAGGAUUAUUUUGAUAGAAUAAAACAUGUAUUAGUGUAUACUUUCAUUG